Molecule: microRNA precursor, 97 nt
Filed under: Loxodonta africana (African savanna elephant)
Lineage: Eukaryota; Metazoa; Chordata; Mammalia; Proboscidea; Elephantidae
Description: mir-544 microRNA precursor family
Rfam family: mir-544 microRNA precursor family
Source: Rfam by way of RNAcentral
GUCACCAGGGAUCUUGCUAAAAUGCAGAUUCUGAUUCAGUGGGGCUGGUUGGGUCCUGAGGGCUCUGUAUUUCUAGCAAGCUCCCAGGUGAUGCUGA